This 441-nucleotide long non-coding RNA is filed under the name Equus caballus (horse). RNAcentral's name for it is "lncRNA (ENSECAG00000050388.1)". The record is from RNAcentral. Lineage: Eukaryota; Metazoa; Chordata; Mammalia; Perissodactyla; Equidae.
ACGGAGUUUCCUCUAUUGAUUGAAGCGUGUUCCACGAACUCACUCGUCUUACGCUCCGAACAUUCCCGUGACUAGUUAUUUUCGUGAUCAGCCCCAUUUUACUGCCAAAGUCACAGACGCCCAGCUCUCCUUUCUCUCUCUCUGGGGAGCGUGAAAGGGGAGGGACCUCCUUACUCGCUGGGGGCAAGAGGACUUGCUGGGGCCGGAGGGGCUGCCUGGGGAGAAGGCAGUGAGAAGGCUUCCAGAAGGCAGGCAGAGUCUGGCUGCUUUGCCAUCAUCACCCCCCGCGGCGCAGAAAGUUAUUAAUCACACUCUUCAGGUCAUAAGAGAGAGUCACAACCGGCCCACGAAAGACCCUCUGAGGCUUUACCCCACCCCAUGUCCUGUCCCCACUCCCACCCCUGCCCCUCAAGGCACCCCUUUAAUACACUUGAUACAGAG